This 497-nucleotide ribosomal RNA is filed under the name uncultured bacterium. RNAcentral describes it as "partial 16S ribosomal RNA". It matches the Rfam family "Bacterial small subunit ribosomal RNA", at positions 28 to 507 of the family's 1533-position model. The record is from RNAcentral.
GAUGAACGCUGGCGGCGUGCCUAAUACAUGCAAGUCGAGCGAACGGACGAGAAGCUUGCUUCUCUGAUGUUAGCGGCGGACGGGUGAGUAACACGUGGAUAACCUACCUAUAAGACUGGGAUAACUUCGGGAAACCGGAGCUAAUACCGGAUAAUAUUUUGAACCGCAUGGUUCAAAAGUAAAAGACGGUCUUGCUGUCACUUAUAGAUGGAUCCGCGCUGCAUUAGCUAGUUGGUAAGGUAACGGCUUACCAAGGCAACGAUGCAUAGCCGACCUGAGGGGGUGAUCGGCCACCCUGGAACUGAGACACGGUCCAGACUCCUACGGGAGGCAGCAGUAGGGAAUCUUCCGCAAUGGGCGAAAGCCUGACGGAGCAACGCCGCGUGAGUGAUGAAGGUCUUCGGAUCGUAAAACUCUGUUAUUAGGGAAGAACAUAUGUGUAAGUAACUGUGCACAUCUUGACGGUACCUAAUCAGAAAGCCACGGCUAACUACGUG